CCUGUCCAACCUGGCUUUGGACACUUCCAGGGAUGGGGCAGCCACAGCUUCUCUGGGCAACCUGUGCCAGGGCCUCCCCACCCUCACAGAGAAGGAUUUCUUCCCAAUAUCUCAUCUAAACUUCCCCCCUUUCAGUUUAAAGCCAUUUCGCCUUGUCCUGUCACUGGAUGCUCUUGUGAGGAUUGGCAAAUUGUAGUAUUAUCUAUUCCAAUAAUCCUGAGUGCUUGGAGAUUUGCUCUCCUUUGAUCUCAUUAGAGGUCAGAGAUCAGAGAUGAGUUGCUUGAUGUUGUUUCCACAUUUAACUCUCCAGAGAAUCAGCAAAAGGUGGAGCACAAUUCCUUUUAAGAGCAGUUAAAAUGAUGUUAGUUUUAACUGCAUCAGGGGAAGGUCCUUCCUUAUUUUUACAAGGACAAGUAGAAGUGGCAGCUCUGUUCCUGAAUUCUAUUUUUACUCCUUCCUGGCCUUAGAGAUAUUCUUGAUUGCUGCCUGUGAAAGGGCAUCUCAAGCUGUGCAGGGUUUGGGAUUGUGUAGCUAUCAAGAACUGUACCUGGGAGUGGAGGAGAUGAGGGAAACAGGCACUUACUUUGUUUCCAAAACAUGGGCAGGGUUAUAGAUGGAGUUGGGUGUGGAUUUAGCAUAGGGAGAAAGUUACACCUGGAGUAAAUUAAAGCAGAAGAUGCAAUCAGGAAUCUUCUGAAAUGUGGCUUUGUAAUCAUGCUUGCUUUUUGGGGGGAGAAACACAAAAUCAACUCAAUCCUUUACCAAAAAAAACCCAAACUGAGGAUGUUUUUCCUUCUCACAGUUCCUCUCGAGAGCAGGGUUGAGUUCUGGAAUGAUCUUCAAAUGUCAAAGGUCAUAGCUUGAGUUUCAGAAUUCCUGACAAAAGUGGCAACAGCAAAAGAAGUGAUUGGCAGUGUCUGCAUGUGAAGAUUCAUGGAUUCCUCAAAAGCUGAUCAUCUGUGUUUUCUCUACAUGGCUAAGAAGGAUUUUUAAAAAAAGGACUAAAUAAAGAUACCACCUACCAUAAGUCUGAAUGGGGC
Molecule: long non-coding RNA, 1040 nt
Filed under: Lepidothrix coronata (blue-crowned manakin)
Lineage: Eukaryota; Metazoa; Chordata; Aves; Passeriformes; Pipridae
Description: lncRNA (ENSLCOG00000014166.1)
Source: RNAcentral